This is a long non-coding RNA of Mytilus californianus (California mussel), 2199 nucleotides long. RefSeq lists it as uncharacterized. The transcript has 4 exons. Lineage: Eukaryota; Metazoa; Mollusca; Bivalvia; Mytilida; Mytilidae. The record is from RefSeq and is a predicted model, not a curated record.
GAUUUUUGUCGAGCCUUCGACUUUUGUCGAAAAAGCGAGACAUAGCGAUCCUACAUUCCGUCGGCGUCGUCGGCGGCGUCCACAAAUAUUCACUCUGUGGUUAAAGUUUUUGAAAUUUUAAUAACUUUCUUAAACUAUCCUGGAUUUCUACCAAACGUGGACAGAAGCUUGUUUAUGAUCAUAAGAUAGUAUCCAGAAGUAAAUUUUGUAAAAAAAAAAAUUCAUUUUUUCCGUAUUUUACUUAUAAAUGGACUUAGUUUUUCUGCCAGUUAACAUUACAUUCACUCUGUGGUUAAAGUUUUUGAAAUUUUAAUAACUUUCUUAAACUAUCCUGGAUUUCUACCAAACUUGGAAAGAACCUUGUUUAUGAUCAUAAGAUAGUAUCCAGAAGUAAAUUUGGUAAAAAAAAAAUUCCAUUUUUUCCGUAUUUUACUUAUAAAUGGACUUAGUUUUUCUGCCAGUUAACAUUACAUUCACUCUGUGGUUAAAGUUUUUAAAAUUUUAACAACUUUCUUAAACUAUCCUGGAUUUGUACCAAACUUGGACAGAAGCUUGUUUAUGAUUAAAAGCUAGUAUCUAGAAGGAAAUUAUUUUCCAUUUUUUCCGUGUUUUACUUAUAAAUGGACUUAGUUUUUUUUCCAGUUAACAUUACAUACAGUCUGCAGUUUAAGUUUUUAAAACAUUUCCUGGAUUUUUACCAAACUUGGACAGAAGCUACUUACAAUCAAAAGAUAGUAUAGAGAGGAAUAUUUUUAUUAAUUUUUUUCCUCAUUUUUGUUGAGCCUGUGAUUAACAGCAAAAGUAGGCGAGACACUGGGUUCCGCGGAACCCUUACGAAUUUUUGGUGUUAAACACCACUUUAACAUGAUUUACUAUAAUUUUGGCUGUAAAUUUUUAUUUGUGGAGACAGCCAGAGUGCCUGGUGAAAACAUCACCUUCAUCAGGGAAACGGGCAAACCUUAGUCAAAUUAAGAAUGAAGUUACACAUUUCAUGUGAGGGUUUUCAGUGUUGACAGGCUAGUGAUACAGUAGUUGAACUACUUAUAGGACCACUCUGCCACCAUAAGUGGAUCAGUACGAAAUAUUUUAUUGAAAUGUGUUAGAUUUUUGUUAUCAAUCUAUUUUUUAAUUUUAAUUGUACUAUUUUAUUUAUUUUGUUUAAUAUAACAAGGAUGUGGAGUCCGAACAGGGUGAAAUUUGGGUCAAAGGGAGGCAAUUUAUUAUACCCCUGUUUAACUCCACAUACUUGAAAUUCCCUCAAUGUUAGGAUUUUCAUCUACUUGGAUAUUCAUGUUUGUACUUUUUUUUUAAUAUCAGAUGUAUACUAGCUAAUAUUGACUAUUAUUUAGAGCUCUGUAAUAAAAAAAAAUAAAUGUAAGCAGAGCUCUAGAUAAUAAGUAUGCAGGGUGGGAGAAAUCCUGGGUCAUUAACAAUUGAUUUGCUGAAAUUUUCAAGAAAGGGGAUUUAUUGGAAAUGCAUCUGAUAUAUUUAAUGUAUAAAAACUUUAUUUAAAAAAAAAAGAUGUUAAGAUGAUGAGGAGAGCCACCUUGUCAGCCAGGAGAGCAGCUCUAAGGGAGAUGGUCAAUUUAAUCUUCACCAAGUCUGAGGCUUUACCAUGAAAAAUAUGUGGUUGUUAUAAUGAUGAUGAUUUCAUGGUGUUGGGAGUAAGACUUGGAUGUCUGAUAUUGUUAACAUGUUGAUUAGCAUCAGGUUUCCAUUGGGUUACUUGCUGGGAUAAAGCUGUUAUAAGUCAAAAGAGUUGCUGUUGCUGCCUUCCUUGUAUGGUAAAAUCCUCAGACUACAAUCCUGUAAACCAUUGGAUGAACUGUUGCUAUCUUUUGUAAAAAAAUCAGCAGAUAUUUGUCUUAUAAGCAGAAUGAAUUAUAAAUGCAAUUAAUUUUUAAUGCUUUAUUAUUCAAAUUAUAAAUAUUUAUUUCAUUAUUUUUUCUUGCAUUCAAUUAUUGUUUUGUAAUUGAAGAAAUAUAAAAAAAAAAACUGUGAAAUUAUUGUUAUUUGAGAGGUCCCAAAGGUAUGAUGUAUGGUUUCACAAGAUACUCAUAAGACUUGCUUCAGUUUACAUAUAUUUUUUAAGUUAUGUACACUGGUUAAGAAUUAUAAGUCCUUUGUGAAAUGAUUUUUUCUGGUUAGAAACCUAUUAAGUAGGACUUUGAUGGCCAAACACUAAAAGGGAAUAAAACA